AGUAGUGAAUCUUCCACAAUGGACGAAAGUCUGAUGGAGCAACGCCGCGUGAGUGAAGAAGGUUUUCGGAUCGUAAAACUCUGUUGUUGGAGAAGAAUGUAUCUGAUAGUAACUGAUCAGGUAGUGACGGUAUCCAACCAGAAAGCCACGGCUAACUACGUGCCAGCAGCCGCGGUAAUU
RNAcentral lists this ribosomal RNA (180 nucleotides) under uncultured Lactobacillus sp. Its description in RNAcentral is "partial 16S ribosomal RNA". It matches the Rfam family "Bacterial small subunit ribosomal RNA", at positions 353 to 525 of the family's 1533-position model. Lineage: Bacteria; Bacillati; Bacillota; Bacilli; Lactobacillales; Lactobacillaceae. The record is from RNAcentral.